AGUUGGUUCAUCCAUGAAAAUGAUAGAGGGGUUUGCUACCAGUUCAACUGCAAUGGUCAGCCUUUUGCGUUGCUCCGUUGAUAGACCAUUGACUCCAGGCAAUCCAACUAAGGCUGAUCUCAAGGGAGUUAGCUCCACGAGUUCCAUAACUUCCUCAACAAACAUCUUUCUCUUGUUUUUGUCAACAUCUUGAGGUAAACGCAACCAAGCUGAGUAAACCAAUGACUCAUAAACUGUAAUAUAAGGCGAAUGGAUGUCAUUCUGCUCACAAUAUCCAGAAAUGCGUGCAAACGUUUCUUGCUUCUUCGGAUACCCAGAAAUCUUGAUGUCACCAUCAAUAUAUCCACCUGUUUUUCUACCGGCCAACACAUCCAUCAAUGUUGUUUUACCAGCUCCACUAACGCCCAUCAA
Molecule: unclassified non-coding RNA, 411 nt
Filed under: Hevea brasiliensis (rubber tree)
Lineage: Eukaryota; Viridiplantae; Streptophyta; Magnoliopsida; Malpighiales; Euphorbiaceae
Source: RNAcentral